UAGUGGCGAACGGGUGAGUAACACGUGGGCAAUCUGCCCUUCACUCUGGGACAAGCCCUGGAAACGGGGUCUAAUACCGGAUAAUACUUUCUCCUGCAUGGGAGAGGGUUGAAAGCUCCGGCGGUGAAGGAUGAGCCCGCGGCCUAUCAGCUUGUUGGUGGGGUGAUGGCCUACCAAGGCGACGACGGGUAGCCGGCCUGAGAGGGCGACCGGCCACACUGGGACUGAGACACGGCCCAGACUCCUACGGGAGGCAGCAGUGGGGAAUAUUGCACAAUGGGCGGAAGCCUGAUGCAGCGACGCCGCGUGAGGGAUGACGGCCUUCGGGUUGUAAACCUCUUUCAGCAGGGAAGAAGCGUGAGUGACGGUACCUGCAGAAGAAGCGCCGGCUAACUACGUGCCAGCAGCCGCGGUAAUACGUAGGGCGCAAGCGUUGUCCGGAAUUAUUGGGCGUAAAGAGCUCGUAGGCGGCUUGUCGCGUCGGAUGUGAAAGCCCGGGGCUUAACCCCGGGUCUGCAUUCGAUAC
This 526-nucleotide ribosomal RNA is filed under the name Streptomyces sp. 310H03. Its description in RNAcentral is "bacterial SSU rRNA". It matches the Rfam family "Bacterial small subunit ribosomal RNA", at positions 93 to 633 of the family's 1533-position model. Lineage: Bacteria; Bacillati; Actinomycetota; Actinomycetes; Kitasatosporales; Streptomycetaceae. The record is from RNAcentral.